This 119-nucleotide ribosomal RNA is filed under the name Pteropus alecto (black flying fox). Lineage: Eukaryota; Metazoa; Chordata; Mammalia; Chiroptera; Pteropodidae. The record is from RNAcentral.
GUCUACGACCAUGCCACCCUGAACGUGCCUGAUCUCAUCUGAUCUCAGAAGCUAAGCAGGGUCGGGCCUGGUUAGUACUUGGAUGAGAGAUCACCUAAGAAUGCCAGGUGCUGUAGCCA